CACGUAGUUAGCCGUGGCUUUCUGGUUAGGUACCGUCACGGUACCGCCCUAUUCGAACGGUACUUGUUCUUCCCUAACAACAGAGCUUUACGAUCCGAAGACCUUCUUCGCUCACGCGGCGUUGCUCCGUCAGACUUUCGUCCAUUGCGGAAGAUUCCCUACUGCUGCCUCCCGUAGGAGUCUGGGCCGUGUCUCAGUCCCAGUGUGGCCGAUCACCCUCUCAGGUCGGCUACGCAUCGUCGCCUUGGUGAGCCGUUACCUCACCAACUAGCUAAUGCGCCGCGGGCCCAUCUGUAAGUGAUAGCCGAAGCCAUCUUUCCUGAUCUCUUCAUGCGAAGACAUCACCUAUCCGGUAUUAGCCCCGGUUUCCCGGAGUUAUCCCAGUCUUACAGGCAGGUUGCCCACGUGUUACUCACCCGUCCGCCGCUGAAUCAGAGGAGCAAGCUCCUCGUCAUCCGCUCGACUUGCAUGUAUUAGGCACGCCGCCAGCGUG
This 493-nucleotide ribosomal RNA is filed under the name uncultured Bacillaceae bacterium. RNAcentral's name for it is "partial 16S ribosomal RNA". Lineage: Bacteria; Bacillati; Bacillota; Bacilli; Caryophanales; Bacillaceae. The record is from RNAcentral.